Molecule: ribosomal RNA, 1210 nt
Filed under: Microbacterium phyllosphaerae
Lineage: Bacteria; Bacillati; Actinomycetota; Actinomycetes; Micrococcales; Microbacteriaceae
Description: bacterial SSU rRNA
Rfam family: Bacterial small subunit ribosomal RNA
Source: RNAcentral
GGGGGGGGNCUUACCAUGCAAGUCGAACGGUGAAGCCCAGCUUGCUGGGUGGAUCAGUGGCGAACGGGUGAGUAACACGUGAGCAAUCUGCCCCUGACUCUGGGAUAAGCGCUGGAAACGGCGUCUAAUACUGGAUACGAACAGCGACCGCAUGGUCAGUUGUUGGAAAGAAUUUCGGUCAGGGAUGAGCUCGCGGCCUAUCAGCUUGUUGGUGAGGUAAUGGCUCACCAAGGCGUCGACGGGUAGCCGGCCUGAGAGGGUGACCGGCCACACUGGGACUGAGACACGGCCCAGACUCCUACGGGAGGCAGCAGUGGGGAAUAUUGCACAAUGGGCGCAAGCCUGAUGCAGCAACGCCGCGUGAGGGACGACGGCCUUCGGGUUGUAAACCUCUUUUAGCAGGGAAGAAGCGAAAGUGACGGUACCUGCAGAAAAAGCGCCGGCUAACUACGUGCCAGCAGCCGCGGUAAUACGUAGGGCGCAAGCGUUAUCCGGAAUUAUUGGGCGUAAAGAGCUCGUAGGCGGUUUGUCGCGUCUGCUGUGAAAUCCCGAGGCUCAACCUCGGGUCUGCAGUGGGUACGGGCAGACUAGAGUGCGGUAGGGGAGAUUGGAAUUCCUGGUGUAGCGGUGGAAUGCGCAGAUAUCAGGAGGAACACCGAUGGCGAAGGCAGAUCUCUGGGCCGUAACUGACGCUGAGGAGCGAAAGGGUGGGGAGCAAACAGGCUUAGAUACCCUGGUAGUCCACCCCGUAAACGUUGGGAACUAGUUGUGGGGUCCAUUCCACGGAUUCCGUGACGCAGCUAACGCAUUAAGUUCCCCGCCUGGGGAGUACGGCCGCAAGGCUAAAACUCAAAGGAAUUGACGGGGACCCGCACAAGCGGCGGAGCAUGCGGAUUAAUUCGAUGCAACGCGAAGAACCUUACCAAGGCUUGACAUAUACGAGAACGGGCCAGAAAUGGUCAACUCUUUGGACACUCGUAAACAGGUGGUGCAUGGUUGUCGUCAGCUCGUGUCGUGAGAUGUUGGGUUAAGUCCCGCAACGAGCGCAACCCUCGUUCUAUGUUGCCAGCACGUAAUGGUGGGAACUCAUGGGAUACUGCCGGGUCACUCGGAGGAAGGNGGGGAUGACGUCAAUCAUCAUGCCCCUUAUGUCUGGGCUUCCGCAUGCUCAAUGGCCGGACAAGGGUGNAUACCGUAGNGGGNNCAAUCC